GAUGAACGCUGGCGGCGUGCCUAACACAUGCAAGUCGAGCGAUUCUCUUCGGAGAAGAGCGGCGGACGGGUGAGUAACGCGUGGGUAACCUGCCCUGUACACACGGAUAACAUACCGAAAGGUAUGCUAAUACGAGAUAAUAUACUUUUAUCGCAUGGUAGAAGUAUCAAAGCUCCGGCGGUACAGGAUGGACCCGCGUCUGAUUAGCUAGUUGGUAAGGUAACGGCUUACCAAGGCGACGAUCAGUAGCCGACCUGAGAGGGUGAUCGGCCACAUUGGAACUGAGACACGGUCCAAACUCCUACGGGAGGCAGCAGUGGGGAAUAUUGCACAAUGGGCGAAAGACCUGAUGCAGCAACGCCGCGUGAGCGAUGAAGG
This 378-nucleotide ribosomal RNA is filed under the name uncultured bacterium. Its description in RNAcentral is "bacterial SSU rRNA". It matches the Rfam family "Bacterial small subunit ribosomal RNA", at positions 28 to 414 of the family's 1533-position model. The record is from RNAcentral.